GUGAAUCAUCGAAUCUUUGAACGCAAAUUGCACUCUCUUCGGAGAGUAUGCCUGUUUGAGGGUCAGCCUAAAAAAAAUCGACAUAGUCGCUGUUUCGCGGUGACAUGCGUCGGAAAUGGGGUCAUCUUAAAACAUUGGGGUUUAAGCGGCUUAAAAUUUUCUUUACGAUUCGACGAACGUUCCUAAGCUUUACUUCUUAUACGUUUAAGGUAUCGAUCUUUAUUGGACGUG
Molecule: unclassified non-coding RNA, 231 nt
Filed under: Glomus sp.
Lineage: Eukaryota; Fungi; Glomeromycota; Glomeromycetes; Glomerales; Glomeraceae
Description: partial contains 5.8S ribosomal RNA and internal transcribed spacer 2
Rfam family: 5.8S ribosomal RNA (bases 1-65)
Source: RNAcentral